Long non-coding RNA from Telopea speciosissima, 250 nucleotides. RefSeq lists it as uncharacterized. The record is from RefSeq and is a predicted model, not a curated record. Lineage: Eukaryota; Viridiplantae; Streptophyta; Magnoliopsida; Proteales; Proteaceae. The transcript is spliced from 4 exons.
AAGAGCAACAAUUCGAGGGCUAUUUUGGCCGAAGGAUUGCCAUUGAUGCUAGCAUGAACAUCUAUCAGUUUCUCAUUGUGGUGGGGGCGGAUAGAGACUGAGAUGCUAACGAAUGAGGCUGGUGAAGUAACGAGUCACUUGCAAGGAAUGUUCACACGAACAAUUAGACUUCUUGAAGCUGGAUUGAAGCCGAUGUACGUUUUUUAUGGAAAGCCACCAGAUAUGAAGAAGCAAGAACUAGCAAAGCGGU